UACAGAGGGUGCGAGCGUUAUCCGGAAUGAUUGGGCGUAAAGCGUCUGUAGGUGGCUCUUUAAGUCCGCCGUCAAAUCCCAGGGCUCAACUCUGGACAGGCGGUGGAAACUACCAAGCUGGAGUACGGUAGGGGCAGAGGGAAUUUCCGGUGGAGCGGUGAAAUGCGCAGAUAUCAGGAGGAACACCGGUGGCGAAGGCGGGUCUCUGGGCCGAUACUGACGCUGAGGAGCGAAAGCGUGGGGAGCGAACAGG
This 253-nucleotide ribosomal RNA is filed under the name uncultured bacterium. RNAcentral's name for it is "partial 16S ribosomal RNA". It matches the Rfam family "Bacterial small subunit ribosomal RNA", at positions 524 to 776 of the family's 1533-position model. The record is from RNAcentral.